Molecule: ribosomal RNA, 514 nt
Filed under: uncultured bacterium
Lineage: Bacteria
Description: bacterial SSU rRNA
Rfam family: Bacterial small subunit ribosomal RNA
Source: RNAcentral
AGAGUUGAUCCUGGCUUAGGAUGAACGCUAGCGGCAGGCUUAACACAUGCAAGUCGAGGGGCAUCGGGAGUAGCAAUACUGCCGGCGACCGGCGCAAGGGUGCGUAACGCGUGAGCAACAUGCCCGUAUCAGGGGGAUAAUCCAUGGAAACGUGGUCUAAUACCCCAUAGUAAUUAUGUAAGGCAUCUUAUAUAAUUUAAAGCUUUGGUGGAUACGGAUUGGCUCGCGUGACAUUAGCUGGAUGGUAAGGUAACGGCUUACCAUGGCUACGAUGUCUAGGGGUUCUGAGAGGAAGGUCCCCCACACUGGAACUGAGACACGGUCCAGACUCCUACGGGAGGCAGCAGUGAGGAAUAUUGGACAAUGGAUGGAAAUCUGAUCCAGCCAUGCCGCGUGCAGGAAGACGGCCCUAUGGGUUGUAAACUGUCUUUUGUAUGGGAGCAAUAAGGGCUACGUGUAGUCCGAUGAGAGUACCAUACGAAUAAGCACCGGCUAACUCCGUGCCAGCCGCGGC